GGAGGGAUGCCCGAGUGGCUAAAGGGGGCGGACUGUAAAUCCGUUGUCGAAGACUACGCUGGUUCGAAUCCAGCUCCCUCCA
Molecule: transfer RNA, 82 nt
Filed under: Paramaledivibacter caminithermalis DSM 15212
Lineage: Bacteria; Bacillati; Bacillota; Clostridia; Peptostreptococcales; Caminicellaceae
Rfam family: tRNA
About the family: Transfer RNA (tRNA) molecules are approximately 80 nucleotides in length. Their secondary structure includes four short double-helical elements and three loops (D, anti-codon, and T loops).
Source: Rfam by way of RNAcentral